UAGCUAAAUACAUUGCAAAAUUCAAAUUUUAUACAAAACAUCUUGCUUAGACUUUAUAAAAAACCAACAUUGCUCUAUGUACACAAUCUGGUUAAGAAAAGCCAUUUCUGUCUUGUUUUCAUGUGUAUUUUAUUAAAAAGGUGAAUAAGGCUACUGUAACACCCCGAAUCCAUAUACAGUAUAUCUGAACCUAUUUACAGCAUCUUCACUUAAACAUGAUGGUGCAAAUUCCAAAGUCAGGUGACUAGGGAUGAUAAUACAAGCAAGGCAUUUACAGUAACUUUCCAAAGCUGAACCAACUUCAAAUAAAGGAACAGUUGGUAGAUUGUCAUAUUCUGCACCAGACACAAAACAGACACACAGUACACAUUUUCAAUUGGUUGCAGGUAACUCUUCAUCGAUUCAUCUGAUUUUUCACAGUUUAGUACAUGACCAAAACGUAGCCAACUGGUGAUACAUAAAUUUGAUUUCAUUAAAAUCAGACUCACUAUUCCCAGGUUCCCCCUUCUCUUCCCUCUCCCCACCCUGAAAAUAAAAUUUUAAUGGCUUAACAAGAAAAUCUUGUAUGGAUUCACAUAAAGAAGAAAAGGGUUGGGAGUGAUGGAAAGAAUUACAUAGGUACUGUGGUUAGUCACCAUGGUAACAUCCCACAGAACUAUGAUAUAGAUAUAUAUAAUAUAUAUUGCAGAUAUAUAUUAUACAUAUAUGUACACACACGCCACACACCCAUUCUCUCACACAAACACGCAUUUUGGACCAACAUCAUUUUUCAGGUUCAGGAAAUAGAGAGAAUUAUCAUUUCUGUGACAGUUCAUUUUUGCAGGUACUCACUGGAGGUUUGAGAACCUUAAAAUGCUGUUGCUACAUUUUUUCUUCCAAUUCAGAAAGCAAAGUGUUACCAUAGUAACAGGACCAUGUUAAAGAUGUCUAUUUUGCAUAGCACAUAAAAAGUAGGUUUCAUGUUUACUUUUUUUCCUUCAGAAGGGAAGGCAGGGGGAAGGAAGGGUGGGGGUGGGGUGGGGGGUAGCAAAAGCUAAACUUUUAACUGGAACCCCCUGAAUGUGACCUGCUGGAUUCUAGCGAACACUUCAGCCAUAAGGCAAGGGAAAACACAACGCAGAAAAUAAAUGCCGGAACAUCUUGUCAUUGUUAAAUAUAUGAUGCAGCAACAUUGAUUUCCUGGUGUUUGGGGGCUUGUAUUUCCUAGUCUACUGUUACGUGAGAUGCCUUCAGAGGACUUUUGUUAUUUUUGUAUUUGCUCUCAUUAUUGUUAUUUUUGGAAUGAAGUUGUUUUUCCCAGAAGUAGUUGUCCAAUUAAAAAUAAAAUUCUUUUUUUUUUUUUUAAAGCACUGAGAGGUCAGACCAUUUAAUUGCCACAAAUGAAUUUCACAUCUUCUGGUGUGCACUCUGUGCAAUCUUAAAAUAUAUAUUAGUAAUAAUCUUUCAUUUUAUAUCCCUUGUGUUCUAUACACCUAUUAUAAAUAAGUCAUAUCUUCCUCCUCCCCCUCGACAUCAUAAUUUAUUUCAGUCUUGUGGACUCUUAAGAGGUUUGCCAUAUGUGCUUUACUUGGAAACAGAGCACCGGGUGAACUGCUGUGUCAGUCACAGUACCUAGACUUCACCAUGAAGCAGGGACAGCACCGCCAUAAACCAAAGUGUCAUAAGGCUUAAUCUGGGUCUCUGUGUAUGGGAUGGGGGAGGGAGAGGGAGAGAUCUGACCUACCUUUUAUAUAUGAGAAUUCUUUAAUAAUGUCAAUGAUGAUGGAAUUACAGCCCAUUUGACCUUUGGCUUUCGAACUUCUAGGUCAGAUUUGGCUCUCUGCUAUUCUCCUAAAUGCUUUCCCUGUGUUUCAUAAAAUGUGAUAAGUAUAGCAGCUGAGUCUGCUUUAAAAACCAUCCCAAAGCAGACUGACUUUCCUACAGCUUCAUAGCUGUGUCUCUUAUUGCCAGUACCACAACAGUCCUGCCCUAAUAUAUCAUCAGCGGCCUACUAUUGUCUUUCCCUCCAAGCUUGUUCAUUUACUAACAAUACCCCCCUUUGUUCUACUGAACCAAAAGGUACUAUCUUUCUCUCUCUGAACAUUGCUAUUUGAUAACAGUGAAUUCCUUCAAAUGCAGCCCUAAUCCACUGCGUGUGGUGUUGUGUCUCCUACUUGCCUCUUAAAACUUAGCAAACCAAAGUGCUGUGCUACCGAAAAAUGUUUUUUUUUUUGUUUGUUUGUUUUGUUUUGUUUCGUUUCGUUUUGUUUCCAGCUUCAUGUUUCAGAGGCAGCAGCAUUGAACUGCAAUUGCAGUCAGCCCUUUCCCCCGCCCCACCCCCAACCACAAACUCCUAGUCUUAUUCGUCGGACGGCCUAACUUCUGGCUGGAAGGCUCCUUAUUAGCAAACACAAUUUCUAGAAAAUGUAUUACCCAUUCAACUAUAGCUGCUGUAGCAAAUGGAAGGAGCAAAUAACUCCCAACAACAUUAAUGUUCCAUUAGUGAUGCCGGAUGUGGAGUGAAAGGAAAUCUCGUGUGAAGAAAUAUGGCAGGGCCCUGGAUAGAACAGAAGUGAAUGUAACAGUGAUGGACUAAAAGUGAGAGAACUUUUAAGAGUCUUACUUAGCCACAGAGGUCUGUGGGACACAUCCAGUAUGCGCUGAGAGAGAUACACACACCAAGUCAGGAGACUGCAUUUCAAGCGCGAGAUCCUAGAGCACCUUCCCAGCAUGUCUAGAACUAUUAUUGUCCUUCUUCCCUUGGCUUUUUUAUACAUG
Sarcophilus harrisii (Tasmanian devil) is the source of this 2757-nucleotide long non-coding RNA. NCBI's taxonomy places the organism in Eukaryota, Metazoa, Chordata, Mammalia, Dasyuromorphia, Dasyuridae. The record is from Ensembl.